UACGUAGGGUGCGAGCGUUGUCCGGAAUUAUUGGGCGUAAAGAGCUUGUAGGCGGUUUGUCGCGUCUGCUGUGAAAAUCCGGGGCUCAACCCCGGACUUGCAGUGGGUACGGGCAGACUAGAGUGUGGUAGGGGAGACUGGAAUUCCUGGUGUAGCGGUGAAAUGCGCAGAUAUCGGGAAGAACACCCGUGGCGAAGGCGGCUCUCUGGAACGCAACUGACGCUGAGACGCGAAAGCGUGGGGAGCAAACAGG
This 253-nucleotide ribosomal RNA is filed under the name uncultured bacterium. RNAcentral describes it as "partial 16S ribosomal RNA". It matches the Rfam family "Bacterial small subunit ribosomal RNA", at positions 524 to 776 of the family's 1533-position model. The record is from RNAcentral.